RNAcentral lists this ribosomal RNA (699 nucleotides) under uncultured bacterium. RNAcentral describes it as "bacterial SSU rRNA". It matches the Rfam family "Bacterial small subunit ribosomal RNA", at positions 57 to 748 of the family's 1533-position model. The record is from RNAcentral.
GCAGUCGACGGUACAGGAAGAAGCUUGCUUCUUUGCUGACGAGUGGCGGACGGGUGAGUAAUGUCUGGGAAACUGCCUGAUGGAGGGGGAUAACUACUGGAAACGGUAGCUAAUACCGCAUAACGUCGCAAGACCAAAGAGGGGGACCUUAGGGCCUCUUGCCAUCGGAUGUGCCCAGAUGGGAUUAGCUAGUAGGUGGGGUAAAGGCUCACCUAGGCGACGAUCCCUAGUUGGUCUGAGAGGAUGACCAGCCACACUGGAACUGAGACACGGUCCAGACUCCUACGGGAGGCAGCAGUGGGGAAUAUUGCACAAUGGGCGCAAGCCUGAUGCAGCCAUGCCGCGUGUAUGAAGAAGGCCUUCGGGUUGUAAAGACCUUUCAGCGGGGAGGAAGGGAGUAAAGUUAAUACCUUUGCUCAUUGACGUUACCCGCAGAAGAAGCACCGGCUAACUCCGUGCCAGCAGCCGCGGUAAUACGGAGGGUGCAAGCGUUAAUCGGAAUUACUGGGCGUAAAGCGCACGCAGGCGGUUUGUUAAGUCAGAUGUGAAAUCCCCGGGCUCAACCUGGGAACUGCAUCUGAUACUGGCAAGCUUGAGUCUCGUAGAGGGGGGUAGAAUUCCAGGUGUAGCGGUGAAAUGCGUAGAGAUCUGGAGGAAUACCGGUGGCGAAGGCGGCCCCCUGGACGAAGACUGACGCUC